RNAcentral lists this ribosomal RNA (2902 nucleotides) under Klebsiella pneumoniae. RNAcentral's name for it is "23S ribosomal RNA". It matches the Rfam family "Bacterial large subunit ribosomal RNA". RNAcentral also lists the same sequence under 1 other name. Lineage: Bacteria; Pseudomonadati; Pseudomonadota; Gammaproteobacteria; Enterobacterales; Enterobacteriaceae. The record is from RNAcentral.
GGUUAAGCGACUAAGCGUACACGGUGGAUGCCCUGGCAGUCAGAGGCGAUGAAGGACGUGCUAAUCUGCGAAAAGCGUCGGUAAGGUGAUAUGAACCGUUAUAGCCGGCGAUGUCCGAAUGGGGAAACCCAGUGCAAUUCGUUGCACUAUCGUUAACUGAAUACAUAGGUUAACGAGGCGAACCGGGGGAACUGAAACAUCUAAGUACCCCGAGGAAAAGAAAUCAACCGAGAUUCCCCCAGUAGCGGCGAGCGAACGGGGAGCAGCCCAGAGUCUGAAUCAGCUUGUGUGUUAGUGGAACGGUCUGGAAAGUCCGACGGUACAGGGUGAUAGUCCCGUACACCAAAAUGCACAGGCUGUGAACUCGAAGAGUAGGGCGGGACACGUGGUAUCCUGUCUGAAUAUGGGGGGACCAUCCUCCAAGGCUAAAUACUCCUGACUGACCGAUAGUGAACCAGUACCGUGAGGGAAAGGCGAAAAGAACCCCGGCGAGGGGAGUGAAAAAGAACCUGAAACCGUGUACGUACAAGCAGUGGGAGCACCUUCGGGUGUGACUGCGUACCUUUUGUAUAAUGGGUCAGCGACUUAUAUUCUGUAGCAAGGUUAACCGUAUAGGGGAGCCGCAGGGAAACCGAGUCUUAACUGGGCGUUAAGUUGCAGGGUAUAGACCCGAAACCCGGUGAUCUAGCCAUGGGCAGGUUGAAGGUUGGGUAACACUAACUGGAGGACCGAACCGACUAAUGUUGAAAAAUUAGCGGAUGACUUGUGGCUGGGGGUGAAAGGCCAAUCAAACCGGGAGAUAGCUGGUUCUCCCCGAAAGCUAUUUAGGUAGCGCCUCGUGAAUUCAUCUUCGGGGGUAGAGCACUGUUUCGGCUAGGGGGUCAUCCCGACUUACCAACCCGAUGCAAACUACGAAUACCGAAGAAUGUUAUCACGGGAGACACACGGCGGGUGCUAACGUCCGUCGUGAAGAGGGAAACAACCCAGACCGCCAGCUAAGGUCCCAAAGUCAUGGUUAAGUGGGAAACGAUGUGGGAAGGCACAGACAGCCAGGAUGUUGGCUUAGAAGCAGCCAUCAUUUAAAGAAAGCGUAAUAGCUCACUGGUCGAGUCGGCCUGCGCGGAAGAUGUAACGGGGCUAAACCAUGCACCGAAGCUGCGGCAGCGACACUAUGUGUUGUUGGGUAGGGGAGCGUUCUGUAAGCCUGCGAAGGUGUGCUGUGAGGCAUGCUGGAGGUAUCAGAAGUGCGAAUGCUGACAUAAGUAACGAUAAAGCGGGUGAAAAGCCCGCUCGCCGGAAGACCAAGGGUUCCUGUCCAACGUUAAUCGGGGCAGGGUGAGUCGACCCCUAAGGCGAGGCCGAAAGGCGUAGUCGAUGGGAAACAGGUUAAUAUUCCUGUACUUGGUGUUACUGCGAAGGGGGGACGGAGAAGGCUAUGUUAGCCGGGCGACGGUUGUCCCGGUUUAAGCAUGUAGGCUGGUUAUCCAGGCAAAUCCGGAUAAUCAAGGCUGAGGUGUGAUGACGAGGCACUACGGUGCUGAAGUAACAAAUGCCCUGCUUCCAGGAAAAGCCUCUAAGCAUCAGGUAACAUCAAAUCGUACCCCAAACCGACACAGGUGGUCAGGUAGAGAAUACCAAGGCGCUUGAGAGAACUCGGGUGAAGGAACUAGGCAAAAUGGUGCCGUAACUUCGGGAGAAGGCACGCUGGUGUGUAGGUGAAGCCCCUGCGGGUGGAGCUGAGACCAGUCGAAGAUACCAGCUGGCUGCAACUGUUUAUUAAAAACACAGCACUGUGCAAACACGAAAGUGGACGUAUACGGUGUGACGCCUGCCCGGUGCCGGAAGGUUAAUUGAUGGGGUUAUCCGUAAGGAGAAGCUCUUGAUCGAAGCCCCGGUAAACGGCGGCCGUAACUAUAACGGUCCUAAGGUAGCGAAAUUCCUUGUCGGGUAAGUUCCGACCUGCACGAAUGGCGUAAUGAUGGCCAGGCUGUCUCCACCCGAGACUCAGUGAAAUUGAACUCGCUGUGAAGAUGCAGUGUACCCGCGGCAAGACGGAAAGACCCCGUGAACCUUUACUAUAGCUUGACACUGAACAUUGAGCCUUGAUGUGUAGGAUAGGUGGGAGGCUUUGAAGCGUGGACGCCAGUCUGCGUGGAGCCAACCUUGAAAUACCACCCUUUAAUGUUUGAUGUUCUAACGUUGGCCCCUUACCGGGGUUGCGGACAGUGUCUGGUGGGUAGUUUGACUGGGGCGGUCUCCUCCCAAAGCGUAACGGAGGAGCACGAAGGUUAGCUAAUCCUGGUCGGACAUCAGGAGGUUAGUGCAAUGGCAUAAGCUAGCUUGACUGCGAGCGUGACGGCGCGAGCAGGUGCGAAAGCAGGUCAUAGUGAUCCGGUGGUUCUGAAUGGAAGGGCCAUCGCUCAACGGAUAAAAGGUACUCCGGGGAUAACAGGCUGAUACCGCCCAAGAGUUCAUAUCGACGGCGGUGUUUGGCACCUCGAUGUCGGCUCAUCACAUCCUGGGGCUGAAGUAGGUCCCAAGGGUAUGGCUGUUCGCCAUUUAAAGUGGUACGCGAGCUGGGUUUAGAACGUCGUGAGACAGUUCGGUCCCUAUCUGCCGUGGGCGCUGGAGAAUUGAGGGGGGCUGCUCCUAGUACGAGAGGACCGGAGUGGACGCAUCACUGGUGUUCGGGUUGUCAUGCCAAUGGCACUGCCCGGUAGCUAAAUGCGGAAGAGAUAAGUGCUGAAAGCAUCUAAGCACGAAACUUGCCCCGAGAUGAGUUCUCCCUGAGACUUUAAGUCUCCUGAAGGAACGUUAAAGACGAUGACGUUGAUAGGCCGGGUGUGUAAGCGCAGCGAUGCGUUGAGCUAACCGGUACUAAUGAACCGUGAGGCUUAACCUU